UACAUAGGAGGCGAGCGUUAUCCGGAGUUAUUGGGCGUAAAGGGUACGUAGGCGGCUGGUCAUGUCUGGGGUUAAAGCCCACUGCUUAACUGUGGGGGGGCGUUGGAGACUGACCGGCUGGAGUGGGGCAGGGGUUGCGGGAAUUCCCGGUGUAGCGGUGAAAUGCGUAGAUAUCGGGAAGAACACCUGUGGCGAAAGCGCCCAACUGGGCCGAAACUGACGCUGAGGUACGAAAGCUAGGGGAGCGAAUGGG
RNAcentral lists this ribosomal RNA (253 nucleotides) under uncultured bacterium. RNAcentral describes it as "partial 16S ribosomal RNA". It matches the Rfam family "Bacterial small subunit ribosomal RNA", at positions 524 to 776 of the family's 1533-position model. The record is from RNAcentral.